RNAcentral lists this ribosomal RNA (1344 nucleotides) under metagenome. RNAcentral's name for it is "bacterial SSU rRNA". It matches the Rfam family "Bacterial small subunit ribosomal RNA". The record is from RNAcentral.
UGCGAUCGAACGUACCCUGAGGUGGGGGAUAGGGUGGCGAAAGUCACCAUAAUACCCCAUGAUCUCUAAGGAGCAAAGGUUUACCGCCUUGGGAGCGGCGAUCGUCCUAUCAGCUAGUUGGCGGGGUAAAAGCCCACCAAGGCUAAGACGGGUAGCGGGUGUGAGAGCACGGCCCGCGACAUCGAAACUGAGACACUGUUCGGACUCCUACGGGAGGCUGCAGUAACGAAUCUUCCGCAAUGGGCGAAAGCCUGACGGAGCAAUGCCGCGUGUGGGAUGAAGCGUCUAUGACGUGUAAACCACUGUCAGGGAAUAGAAACAAUGAUCGUUCCCAAAGGAAGUGGCGACUAACUCUGUGCCAGCAGUCGCGGUAAUACAGAGGCCACAAGCGUUAGUCGGAAUCACUGGGCUUAAAGGGUGCGUAGGUGGCCCACCAAGUGUCUUGUGAAAUACCUUAGCUCAACUAAGGAACAGCAGGGCAUACUGGUGGGCUCGAGGCAGGUAAGGGUCGCUGGAACAAUAGGUGGAGCGGUGAAAUGCGUAGAUAUCUAUUGGAACGCCGAUGGUGAAGACGAGCGACUGGGCCUGACCUGACACUGAGGCACGAAAGCGUGGGGAGCAAACAGGAUUAGAUACCCUGGUAGUCCACGCCGUAAACGAUGCGCACUAGACUGGUGCGGUUUUGACGCCGUAUCAGUCGUAGUAAAAACGAUAAGUGCGCCGCCUGGGGAGUACGGUCGCAAGGCUAAAACUCAAAUGAAUUGACGGGGGCUCACACAAGCGGUGGAGCAUGUUGCUUAAUUCGAGGCAACGCGAAGAACCUUACCUGGGUUUGACAUGUACGUAUUAACCCCAUGAAAGUGGGGCCACAGUCGCAAGACCGGAACGUGCACAGGUGCUGCAUGGCUGUCGUCAGCUCGUGCUGUGAAGUGUCAGGUUAAGUCCUUUAACGAGCGCAACCCCUAUCGUUAGUUGCUCGGCGCAAGCCAGUACUCUAGCGAGACUGCCGGUGUCAAACCGGAGGAAGGUGGGGAUGACGUCAAGUCCUCAUGGCCCUUACAUCCAGGGUUGCAAACGUGCUACAAUGGUGCAUACAGAGCGAAGCAAGAGCGCAAGCUGGAGCAAAUCGCAAAAAGUGCACCCCAGUUCGGAUUGUCGGCUGCAACUCGCCGGCAUGAAGUCGGAAUCGCUAGUAAUCGGGGAUCAGCUACGCCCCGGUGAAUGAGUUCCUGAGCCUUGUACACACCGCCCGUCACGUCAUGGGAGCCGAGAGUGCCCGAAGUCGCUGCAUUUCAGCAGUGCCCACGGCAAGAUCGGUGACUGGGACGAAGUCGUAACAAGGUA